UAUCCGUAGGUGAACCCGCGGAAGGAUCAUUAUUGUAUAACCGAGGUGCGAGGGCUGUCGCUGACCCGAAAGGUCGUGCACGCCCGAGUGCCCUCACACAUCCAUCUCACCCCUAUGUGCACCACCGCGUGGGUCCCCCUUUGGCUUGUUCGGAGGGGGGCUUACGUUUUCACACAAACUUUGUAUGCAGUGUAGAAUGUAUUUUUUGUUUUUGCGAUCACGCAAUCAAUACAACUUUCAACAACGGAUCUCUUGGCUCUC
This 261-nucleotide unclassified non-coding RNA is filed under the name plant metagenome. Its description in RNAcentral is "partial contains small subunit ribosomal RNA, internal transcribed spacer 1, and 5.8S ribosomal RNA". The record is from RNAcentral.